RNAcentral lists this ribosomal RNA (537 nucleotides) under Cladophialophora multiseptata. Its description in RNAcentral is "eukaryotic LSU rRNA". It matches the Rfam family "Eukaryotic large subunit ribosomal RNA", at positions 82 to 635 of the family's 3401-position model. Lineage: Eukaryota; Fungi; Ascomycota; Eurotiomycetes; Chaetothyriales; Herpotrichiellaceae. The record is from RNAcentral.
AGUAACGGCGAGUGAAGCGGCAAUAGCUCAAAUUUGAAAUCUGGCCUCUCGGGGUCCGAGUUGUAAUUUGUAGAGGAUGUUUUGGGUACCGCCCCGGUUUAAAUUUCUUGGAACAGAAUGUCAAAGAGGGUGAGAAUCCCGUCUUGGAUCGGUGGUAGGGCCUAUGUAAAACUCCUUCGACGAGUCGAGUUGUUUGGGAAUGCAGCUCAAAUUGGGUGGUAAAUUUCAUCUAAAGCUAAAUAUUGGCCAGAGACCGAUAGCGCACAAGUAGAGUGAUCGAAAGAUGAAAAGCACUUUGAAAAGAGAGUUAAACAGUAUGUGAAAUUGUUGAAAGGGAAGCGCUUGCAACCAGACUUGAGCGCGGCGGUUCCCCUCGCCUUUUGGCGAGGCUACUCCGUCGUGUCCAGGCCAACAUCGGUUCUGAGGGUCGGUUAAAGGCUCUGGGAAUGUACCUACCCACGGGUAGACUUAUAGACCAGGGUGUCAUGCGACCUCCCGGGACCGAGGAACGCGCUUCGGCUCGGAUGUUGGCGUAAU